Long non-coding RNA from Zingiber officinale, 549 nucleotides. RefSeq lists it as uncharacterized. Lineage: Eukaryota; Viridiplantae; Streptophyta; Magnoliopsida; Zingiberales; Zingiberaceae. The transcript has 3 exons. The record is from RefSeq and is a predicted model, not a curated record.
UCCCCGAUUUUCUCCUCCUUCACGCGAUUUUUUUUCUCCCGAUUCCCCUCUCGCGACCUCUCCUCGCCUGAUCGUCGGCCGCCCAAGAAUUCACCGCCGAUGGAGGUCUUCUCCUCCAGCAAGCCUCACCGUGGUGAAGCCCUUUUCAAGUCGUCCUCUCCUUCCUCCUUACCGUCAAACCAUCGCCGACGCUGCCCUAUGCCGCGCUGCCAGCGGACGCUGCCCGACGCUGUGAUACUUGACGGACACUGAGCCACAGCGUCAUUGAUCUCCGAUCGCCUCGCUGUUGCCGAGAUGGGAGGAGCUAUCACCUUCUCUGGCGAUCCUUGUGCGCGAUCGUCGACGAUUCGAUACCUAGGGCACUGCGGCGAUUGUCUAGGGGAAGGCAUCGGAACAAAUCCUAGAUGGAAUUCCUCCGGGCAGAUCACUGUCCUCUGCAUUCUUGCGGCCGAGUAAGGUUUCAGUUGACGAUUUGGGGGCUGUUUGAGGACUUGGAUUCGGGAUGAGUGUCUCGACGCGGGAUUACUUGGCACGAUCUACAUUUUAAGG